Molecule: ribosomal RNA, 870 nt
Filed under: uncultured archaeon
Lineage: Archaea
Description: bacterial SSU rRNA
Rfam family: Archaeal small subunit ribosomal RNA
Source: RNAcentral
UUCCGGUUGAUCCCGCCAGAGGUCACUGCUAUCGGGGUUCGAUUAAGCCACGCGAGUCGAGAGGGUUCGGCCCUCGGCGUACUGCUCAGUAACACGUGGAUAACCUGCCCUAAGGAAGGGGAUACCCCCGGGAAACUGGGGAUAAUACCCUAUAGGUUACAGAUGCUGGAAUGCUCUGUACCCGAAAGUUCCGGCGCCUUAGGAUGGAUCUGCGGCCGAUUAGGUUGUUGUCGGGGUAACGGCCCAACAAGCCAGUAAUCGGUACGGGUUGUGGGAGCAAGAGCCCGGAGUUGGAUUCUGAGACACGAAUCCAGGCCCUACGGGGCGCAGCAGGCGCGAAAACUUUACAAUGCGGGCAACCGUGAUAAGGGAACCUCGAGUGCCUGUAUAUGCAGGCUGUCUGGGUGUCUAAAACACACCUAAAGAAAGGGCCGGGCAAGACCGGUGCCAGCCGCCGCGGUAAUACCGGCGGCUCGAGUGGUGGCCACUUUUAUUGGGCUUAAAGCGUUCGUAGCUGGGUUAUUAAGUCCCUUGGGAAAUCCGACGGCUUAACCGUCGGGCGUCUAAGGGAUACUGGCAAUCUUGGAACCGGGAGAGGUGAGGGGUACUUCGGGGGUAGGAGUGAAAUCCUGUAAUCCUCGAGGGACCACCUGUGGCGAAGGCGCCUCACCAGAACGGCUUCGACAGUGAGGGACGAAAGCUGGGGGAGCAAACCGGAUUAGAUACCCGGGUAGUCCCAGCCGUAAACGAUGUGCGUUAGGUGUAUCGGUGACCACGAGUCACCGAGGUGCCGAAGGGAAACCGUGAAACGUACCGCCUGGGAAGUACGGUCGCAAGGCUGAAACUUAAAGGGAAUUGGCGGGGAGGCAC